Molecule: small nuclear RNA, 155 nt
Filed under: Salvator merianae (Argentine black and white tegu)
Lineage: Eukaryota; Metazoa; Chordata; Lepidosauria; Squamata; Teiidae
Description: U1 spliceosomal RNA (ENSSMRG00000016953.1)
Rfam family: U1 spliceosomal RNA
About the family: U1 is a small nuclear RNA (snRNA) component of the spliceosome (involved in pre-mRNA splicing).
Source: RNAcentral
AGAAUGGAUGGGAAUCCUCUUUAAGACCUGAAGGGCACCAUGUUGUUUUCCCAGGGUGCGGCUCAGCCAUUGCACUCCGGCUGUGCUGACGCCUGCGAUUUCCCCAAAUGCGGGAAACUCAACGGCAUAAUUUGUGGCUCCAGGUCCACACCUGU